GAGUUUGAUCCUGGCUCAGGACGAACGCUGGCGGCGUGCUUAACACAUGCAAGUCGAACGGUAAGGCCCCAGCUUGCUGGGGUACACGAGUGGCGAACGGGUGAGUAACACGUGGGUGACCUGCCCCGCACUUCGGGAUAAGCCUGGGAAACUGGGUCUAAUACCGGAUAGGACCGCACCGUGAGGGUGUGGUGGAAAGUUUUUCGGUGUGGGAUGGGCCCGCGGCCUAUCAGCUUGUUGGUGGGGUAGUGGCCUACCAAGGCGGCGACGGGUAGCCGGCCUGAGAGGGUGGACGGCCACAUUGGGACUGAGACACGGCCCAGACUCCUACGGGAGGCAGCAGUGGGGAAUAUUGCACAAUGGGCGGAAGCCUGAUGCAGCGACGCCGCGUGGGGGAUGACGGCCUUCGGGUUGUAAACUCCUUUCACCAUCGACGAAGGUUUUCUGACGGUAGAUGGAGAAGAAGCACCGGCUAACUACGUGCCAGCAGCCGCGGUAAUACGUAGGGUGCGAGCGUUGUCCGGAAUUACUGGGCGUAAAGAGCUCGUAGGUGGUUUGUCGCGUCGUCUGUGAAAUUCCGGGGCUUAACUCCGGGCGUGCAGGCGAUACGGGCAUAACUUGAGUACUGUAGGGGAGACUGGAAUUCCUGGUGUAGCGGUGAAAUGCGCAGAUAUCAGGAGGAACACCGGUGGCGAAGGCGGGUCUCUGGGCAGUAACUGACGCUGAGGAGCGAAAGCAUGGGUAGCGAACAGGAUUAGAUACCCUGGUAGUCCAUGCCGUAAACGGUGGGCGCUAGGUGUAGGGGUCUUCCACGACUUCUGUGCCGUAGCUAACGCAUUAAGCGCCCCGCCUGGGGAGUACGGCCGCAAGGCUAAAACUCAAAGGAAUUGACGGGGGCCCGCACAAGCGGCGGAGCAUGUGGAUUAAUUCGAUGCAACGCGAAGAACCUUACCUGGGCUUGACAUAUACGGGACCGGGCCAGAGAUGGUCCUUCCCUUGUGGCUCGUAUACAGGUGGUGCAUGGUUGUCGUCAGCUCGUGUCGUGAGAUGUUGGGUUAAGUCCCGCAACGAGCGCAACCCUUGUCUUAUGUUGCCAGCACGUAAUGGUGGACUGCCGGGGUCAACUCGGAGGAAGGUGGGGAUGACGUCAAAUCAUCAUGCCCCUUAUGUCCAGGGCUUCACACAUGCUACAAUGGUCGGUACAGUGGGUUGCGAUGCCGUGAGGUGGAGCUAAUCCCUGAAAGCCGGUCUCAGUUCGGAUCGGGGUCUGCAACUCGACCCCGUGAAGUCGGAGUCGCUAGUAAUCGCAGAUCAGCGACGCUGCGGUGAAUACGUUCCNCGGGCCCUUGUACACACCGCCC
RNAcentral lists this ribosomal RNA (1361 nucleotides) under uncultured bacterium. RNAcentral's name for it is "16S ribosomal RNA". It matches the Rfam family "Bacterial small subunit ribosomal RNA". The record is from RNAcentral.